CGGGGUGAGUAACGCGUGAGCAAUCUGCCCAUAUCUGGGGGAUAACAGUUAGAAAUGACUGCUAAUACCGCAUAUGACCACAGGGAGGCAUCUCCCAGGGGUGAAAGAUUUAUCGGAUAUGGAUGAGCUCGCGUCCCAUUAGGUAGUUGGUGAGGUAACGGCCCACCAAGCCGACGAUGGGUAGCCGGCCUUAGAGGGCGAUCGGCCACAUUGGAACUGAGAUACGGUCCAAACUCCUACGGAAGGCAGCAG
This 252-nucleotide ribosomal RNA is filed under the name uncultured bacterium. RNAcentral's name for it is "partial 16S ribosomal RNA". It matches the Rfam family "Bacterial small subunit ribosomal RNA", at positions 100 to 354 of the family's 1533-position model. The record is from RNAcentral.